Molecule: ribosomal RNA, 300 nt
Filed under: uncultured Lactobacillus sp.
Lineage: Bacteria; Bacillati; Bacillota; Bacilli; Lactobacillales; Lactobacillaceae
Description: bacterial SSU rRNA
Rfam family: Bacterial small subunit ribosomal RNA (bases 52-300)
Source: RNAcentral
GGGAAGUGCGGGGAAGUGUGGGCGGGAAGACGUAGGUGGGAGGCGGUGUCGGGAGUUAUUGGGCGUAAAGAGCGGGUGGGCGGCCUGGUAGGUCAGCGGUGAAAACUCGAGGCUCAACCGCGAGACGCCGGUUGAAACCAUCAGGCUAGAGUCCGGAAGAGGAGAGGGGAAUUCCCGGUGUAGCGGUGAAAGGCGCAGAUAUCGGGAAGAACACCCGUGGCUAAGGCGGCGCUCUAGUACGGUACUGACGCUGAGACGCGAAAGCGUGGGGAGCGAACAGGAUUAGAUACCCUGGUAGUC